GCGUCGGUAGCGCAGUAGGCAGCGCGUCAGUCUCAUAAUCUGAAGGCCGUGAGUUCGAUCCUCACCCGGGGCA
This 73-nucleotide transfer RNA is filed under the name Thrips palmi. Its description in RNAcentral is "tRNA-Met". It matches the Rfam family "tRNA". From Rfam's summary of the family: Transfer RNA (tRNA) molecules are approximately 80 nucleotides in length. Lineage: Eukaryota; Metazoa; Arthropoda; Insecta; Thysanoptera; Thripidae. The record is from Rfam by way of RNAcentral.